This 344-nucleotide ribosomal RNA is filed under the name Caenibaculum baiyandianus. RNAcentral's name for it is "partial 16S ribosomal RNA". It matches the Rfam family "Bacterial small subunit ribosomal RNA", at positions 341 to 704 of the family's 1533-position model. The record is from RNAcentral. Lineage: Bacteria; Pseudomonadati; Pseudomonadota; Betaproteobacteria; Burkholderiales; Burkholderiaceae.
AUGUUAUGUAGCGGACCUGCUCUAAAAUUGAUUAUAUGAUAGUGUGCGUGUGUGAGAGGCUUCGGGGGUUGAGAUUUUUUGUCCAGAAAAAAAUUGGGGUAUAUAUGGGGAGGAUGAUACCGGAGGAAUAAUCACCGGCUGACUACGUGCUAGCAGCCGCGGCAUACUUAGGGUGCGUGCGUUGUCGGAAUUACUGGGUGUAAAGCGUGCGCACGCGGUUUGCUUACACCGAUGUGAAAUCCCCGGGCUCAACCUGGGAAGUGAAUUGGUGACUGGCUGGCUAGAGUAUGGCAGAGGGGGGGGGAAUUCCACUUGUAGCAGUGUAAUGCGUAAAGUACAGGAGG